Long non-coding RNA from Bubalus bubalis (water buffalo), 572 nucleotides. RefSeq lists it as uncharacterized. The transcript has 4 exons. The record is from RefSeq and is a predicted model, not a curated record. NCBI's taxonomy places the organism in Eukaryota, Metazoa, Chordata, Mammalia, Artiodactyla, Bovidae.
UUCGUGUUCUGGUUGUUUAUUGGAAGAAAGCUUUCUAGAGAAGAGGAGAGGAGGCAGGGAUAGGGCAGAGCUAGAGACCGGCUUUCUAGUGUGGAAAAUCUGGGGCAGGAAUUGCCCUGAAGGACUCACCUCUCCUGAGGCCUCCCGAUGAAUUCCCCCACACUCCUCUCCUAAGUAUGCCUGUCUGUUAGCUUCUGAGUCAAGAGCCAGCCUGAAGCCAGAUCAUGGUGAUCCGGUAUCUAAGUGUCCGUCCUGAACUAUGCCUGCAGCGCAUGUGUUGUCAAGUGCAGCCCUGUGUGCAGCUCUGGAGACGCUCACGAGCAUGUGGAAGCCCUAGCCGCCAAGAGAUGGAGCGCCCACUGUGUGUGAGAUGUUCCAGAUUUCUGACCCAGAAGAAGCCUGUUUCAUCAUCAUCACCAUUUGCCACAGCAUGUACUCAAGGAGGUGCCAGGAAUGCCCACUGGACUCCUGCUGUGACUCUCCGGGGAUGAAGAUGGAACCUUCUAUUUUGUACUGUACACACAUUUCUGCAUUGCCUGAUUACUGGAAAGCAAGUUGGUAUUAGACGGACA